Molecule: ribosomal RNA, 135 nt
Filed under: uncultured Thermotogae bacterium
Lineage: Bacteria; Thermotogati; Thermotogota; Thermotogae
Description: partial 16S ribosomal RNA
Rfam family: Bacterial small subunit ribosomal RNA
Source: RNAcentral
CGACGCCGCGUGGAGGAAGAAGUCCUUCGGGAUGUAAACUUCUGAACUAGCCGAAUAAAAGGCCUGUGGACACACAGGAGAAGAAAGUAGGCUAGGAAAAGUCCCGGCUAACUACGUGCCAGCAGCCGCGGUAAU